GAGCCCGUGGCUCAAUGGUAGAGCGGUCGACUCAAAUACCAAAGAAAGUGGGUUCGAAUCCCAUGUGUUCC
This 71-nucleotide transfer RNA is filed under the name Schistocephalus solidus. It matches the Rfam family "tRNA". Rfam says of the family: Transfer RNA (tRNA) molecules are approximately 80 nucleotides in length. Their secondary structure includes four short double-helical elements and three loops (D, anti-codon, and T loops). Lineage: Eukaryota; Metazoa; Platyhelminthes; Cestoda; Diphyllobothriidea; Diphyllobothriidae. The record is from Rfam by way of RNAcentral.